CGCUUGUUUAUCAAAAACAUGUCUUUUUGAGUAUAAUUUAAAGUCUGACCUGCCCACUGAAUUUAUUUAAAGGGCCGCAGUAUUUUGACUGUGCUAAGGUAGCAUAAUCACUUGUUUUUUAAUUGAAAACUAGAAUGAAUGGUUUGAUAAAAAAUAAGCUGUCUCUAUUUAAAAAUUAUAAAAAUUUAAAAUUUUAGUUAAAAUGCUAAAAUUUAUAUAAAAGACGAGAAGACCCCAUAGAUCUUUAUAAUUGUUUUUAAUAAAAUUAUUUAUUUUUAAAAAUAUUUUUACAAAAAUAAUUAUUGAAUUGGGGCGAUUAAAAAAUUUAAUAAACUUUUUUAUAUUUUAAAUACUAAUUAGUAUAAAUUUGAUCCAUUAUUAUGAUUAUUUGAUUAAGUUACCUUGGGGAUAACAGCGUAAUUUUUUUGGGGAGUUCAUAUCUAAAAAAAAGAUUACGACCUCGAUGUUGAAUUAAAGUUAAUUUUAGGAGUAGAAAUUUAAAAUUUUAGUCUGUUCGACUAUUUAACUUUACAUGAUCUGAGUUCAAACC
This 550-nucleotide ribosomal RNA is filed under the name Conwentzia pineticola. RNAcentral's name for it is "partial 16S ribosomal RNA". It matches the Rfam family "Bacterial large subunit ribosomal RNA", at positions 1797 to 2617 of the family's 2925-position model. The record is from RNAcentral. Lineage: Eukaryota; Metazoa; Arthropoda; Insecta; Neuroptera; Coniopterygidae.